UAGAGUUUGAAUCCUGGCUCAGAUUGAACGCUGGCGGCAGGCUUAACACAUGCAAGUCGAGCGGUAACAUUUCUAGCUUGCUAGAAGAUGACGAGCGGCGGACGGGUGAGUAAUACUUAGGAAUCUACCUAGUAGUGGGGGAUAGCUCGGGGAAACUCGAAUUAAUACCGCAUACGACCUACGGGAGAAAGGGGGCAACUUGUUGCUCUCGCUAUUAGAUGAGCCUAAGUCGGAUUAGCUAGAUGGUGGGGUAAAGGCCUACCAUGGCGACGAUCUGUAGCUGGUCUGAGAGGAUGAUCAGCCACACCGGGACUGAGACACGGCCCGGACUCCUACGGGAGGCAGCAGUGGGGAAUAUUGGACAAUGGGGGAAACCCUGAUCCAGCCAUGCCGCGUGUGUGAAGAAGGCCUUUUGGUUGUAAAGCACUUUAAGCAGUGAAGAAGACUCUUCGGUUAAUACCCGGAGACGAUGACAUUAGCUGCAGAAUAAGCACCGGCUAACUCUGUGCCAGCAGCCGCGGUAAUACAGAGGGUGCAAGCGUUAAUCGGAAUUACUGGGCGUAAAGCGAGCGUAGGUGGCUUGAUAAGUCAGAUGUGAAAUCCCCGGGCUUAACCUGGGAACUGCAUCUGAUACUGUCAGGCUAGAGUAGGUGAGAGGAAGGUAGAAUUCCAGGUGUAGCGGUGAAAUGCGUAGAGAUCUGGAGGAAUACCGAUGGCGAAGGCAGCCUUCUGGCAUCAUACUGACACUGAGGCUCGAAAGCGUGGGUAGCAAACAGGAUUAGAUACCCUGGUAGUCCACGCCGUAAACGAUGUCUACUAGUCGUUGGGUCCCUUGAGGACUUAGUGACGCAGCUAACGC
This 859-nucleotide ribosomal RNA is filed under the name Psychrobacter alimentarius. RNAcentral describes it as "bacterial SSU rRNA". It matches the Rfam family "Bacterial small subunit ribosomal RNA", at positions 1 to 858 of the family's 1533-position model. Lineage: Bacteria; Pseudomonadati; Pseudomonadota; Gammaproteobacteria; Moraxellales; Moraxellaceae. The record is from RNAcentral.